UUUCGCUAGGGGUGCUUAUUUUAAGCUGAGAGAAGGUAAUGACUUUCGACCCUUUGAACCUGAUCCAGUUCAUACUGGCGUAGGGAAGCGGCG
This 93-nucleotide non-coding RNA is filed under the name uncultured Fictibacillus sp. RNAcentral's name for it is "TPP riboswitch (THI element)". It matches the Rfam family "TPP riboswitch aptamer (THI element)", at positions 6 to 93 of the family's 105-position model. From Rfam's summary of the family: Vitamin B(1) in its active form thiamin pyrophosphate (TPP) is an essential coenzyme that is synthesised by coupling of pyrimidine and thiazole moieties in bacteria. The previously detected thiamin-regulatory element, thi box was extended, resulting in a new, highly conserved RNA secondary structure, the THI element, which is widely distributed in eubacteria and also occurs in some archaea. The record is from RNAcentral. Lineage: Bacteria; Bacillati; Bacillota; Bacilli; Caryophanales; Fictibacillaceae.